CUUUCUGAAGGAUGUGUUUGAGCCCCCGCUUGUCUUGUCCAGUGCAGGAGAACCCAAACCAAGCAAACUGCCAACAUGGUCUAACUGGCGCUGUAGCGAAUCUGGAUGCAGGAUUUUUUCAGAAUUUCUUGUGACAGAACAACCUUUUGGCCCGCUCUACCCAGCAGUCACUGAGUGAUGGGGCUGCAGGAUCUGGAAGGUGCACCCCGGCGACAUCAGUGCAGCUUUGCAAUGGGCACUGCUCUGGCAUGGAUUAAGCCAGCAGGAUGUGCAUCGGAACUGUGCCAGGGUCGCCGGGUUCCCGCUGCGUCAUCACCAGAGAGGUACAACAAACCCCUCGCUAAGAGCUCGGAAACAGCCUCGGUGUGUAGGAACGUCGCAGAAAGGGCCACGGAUCAAGGAUGGACAAACAACGUUGUUGGAGACAAACCUAUUGGUGGCUUGACCAUUUGCACUGUGG
RNAcentral lists this long non-coding RNA (460 nucleotides) under Apteryx rowi (Okarito brown kiwi). RNAcentral describes it as "lncRNA (ENSARWG00000006352.1)". The record is from RNAcentral. Lineage: Eukaryota; Metazoa; Chordata; Aves; Apterygiformes; Apterygidae.